MicroRNA precursor from Gallus gallus (chicken), 78 nucleotides. NCBI's taxonomy places the organism in Eukaryota, Metazoa, Chordata, Aves, Galliformes, Phasianidae. The record is from Ensembl.
AGGGACUGUCUUGAGAUAAGACAGAGGAUAUUAAGCCUGAAAUAAAAAUAAUAUCCUUCUUUCUUGUCUUUUAGUCUC